GAUCACCUAAGUGAUGUAACCCUUGUCUAGGUUCAGCCUACUGGGGAUUUCUGACAUACCUAUGCACUGAUCACCGAGGUGAUGUAAAUCAUUUCCAGGCUUCUUGUACAGGGGACAUUGUGAUAUAUCUCUGCACUGAUCACGCAAAUGAUGCAAAUCUUCUCUAGGCUCCACAGGGAGGGGACAUUGUGCCAUAUUUCUGAACUGCUCAUCCAGGAUAUGUAACUAUUCUCCAGGCUUUGACUAACGAGCGUCGGAAGGUGUUGGGAGAGCCUCAACAGGAAUUUCAGGGACAGAAAAGGGCACAGAGAGGCCAGCGGGCUCCCUUGCACGUCAGCCGGAGUGCGCAAUGAGCGCAGGUCUAGCCAGGAGGCCGGCAAGGAGAGCUAGAGGUCUG
This 397-nucleotide long non-coding RNA is filed under the name Homo sapiens (human). Its description in RNAcentral is "HSALNT0288266". Lineage: Eukaryota; Metazoa; Chordata; Mammalia; Primates; Hominidae. The record is from RNAcentral.